Molecule: transfer RNA, 90 nt
Filed under: Lachnospiraceae bacterium
Lineage: Bacteria; Bacillati; Bacillota; Clostridia; Lachnospirales; Lachnospiraceae
Description: tRNA-Ser
Rfam family: tRNA
About the family: Transfer RNA (tRNA) molecules are approximately 80 nucleotides in length.
Source: RNAcentral
GGAGACGUAUCGAAGAGGUCAUAACGAGCUCGACUCGAAAUCGAGUUGUCGGUUAAUCCCGGCACGUGGGUUCGAAUCCCACCGUCUCCG